Molecule: ribosomal RNA, 453 nt
Filed under: Triticum aestivum (bread wheat)
Lineage: Eukaryota; Viridiplantae; Streptophyta; Magnoliopsida; Poales; Poaceae
Description: partial small subunit ribosomal RNA
Source: RNAcentral
AUGGAGCCCAAGAGGUCCUCGCCCCAGGCGCAGCCCCAGCCGCGCGCGGCGACUAAGAAGUCGCCUCCCCGCGCUGCCGCCGCCGACGCCGCCAUCGCCGACUCGCCGCUCAGCAGCCUGUUCCACCCGGCGCCGCACGGGGUAAACGGCAAAGAGCAGGACUUGUACGCCAUUCUCUUCAAGGGGCAGAACGGCAAUGCUCAGGCUAGCAUGACAGAUGGUAAAUCCCAGUGGAGUCCUGCUAGGGGCCGCACAACAUAUACCAAGGAUAUCAAGUAUGACUCGGUUGGUACAUCAUCUUGUUUUGGUUCUUCUGUGCACUAUGGUGGCCGAGAAUAUUAUGGCAGCUCUGCACCUAAGCAAUCCGCGGAAUACAGUGAUUACAAGGUGGAUAAGAAGGAUCCUGUCGCAGAUUCUCAUGGCGAUUGGUGGCAAGGCUCGUUUUACUACUAA